RNAcentral lists this transfer RNA (69 nucleotides) under Fukomys damarensis (Damara mole-rat). It matches the Rfam family "tRNA". From Rfam's summary of the family: Transfer RNA (tRNA) molecules are approximately 80 nucleotides in length. Lineage: Eukaryota; Metazoa; Chordata; Mammalia; Rodentia; Bathyergidae. The record is from Rfam by way of RNAcentral.
GGGGCUGUAGCUCAGCGGUAGAGCACUUGCCUGGCAUACACAAGCCACUGGGUUCAAUCCCUAGUUCCA